RNAcentral lists this long non-coding RNA (652 nucleotides) under Marmota monax (woodchuck). The record is from RNAcentral. Lineage: Eukaryota; Metazoa; Chordata; Mammalia; Rodentia; Sciuridae.
AAGGAGAGGUUCUGCUAAGAUUUGGGUGGGAGAGGGAUCCUGAGUGACUCUGCAGCUUCUCACAUCUAAGAUGGGCAGAGAUCCAUCGAAGAGCCCCACUUUCAGAUGGUCUGCCUUCAGGGAAUAGGCAGCAGAAAUUGCCUGAGUUCCUUUGUGUCGCGUCAGCAUGGCCAUGAAGCUAAGGGACCUUCUAACUCUUGGUGCUCUUCUGAAGAAUUUUAAGCUGUAUUAAGCAUUGUGCAAUUUGCUGUUACUCUCAGAGAUUUGGGCAAAGAAGAUGUGAAUAGAGAGCAUGUUUCCGAAGCAGGGGAAAAAACACCUAGUCAUAAAAUCAGCCCAGGAAGAGAUGCCAGGCCUGGCACCACUGCGGGGCCAGAGCCAGAUGUGACAGCCAGCCAAGGCCAGACGGACUUGGGACGGAGGCAGGAAUGAGCAGGUGGCCCAGUACCCACCCUGACCUCACGCAGGUCCCAGCUUUCUGGAGCCUCAUGUGUCACACCUAUAAAAUGGCUUUGAAAAGCCUCAGCUCAGGAUAAUAGAACCAAAUAAGCAUAUAUAAAAUCCCUAGUAUUGUUAUUACUCCUGUUGCCUUUUUGAGGAGAUGAGACGUUUAUUGGAGUUUUCUUGUGCUGAGUGCUGCAGUGGGUGAGGG